This 253-nucleotide ribosomal RNA is filed under the name uncultured bacterium. Its description in RNAcentral is "partial 16S ribosomal RNA". It matches the Rfam family "Bacterial small subunit ribosomal RNA", at positions 524 to 776 of the family's 1533-position model. The record is from RNAcentral.
UACGUAGGUGGCGAGCGUUGUCCGGAUUUACUGGGCGUAAAGGGAGCGUAGGCGGACUUUUAAGUGAGAUGUGAAAUACUCGGGCUCAACUUGAGUGCUGCAUUUCAAACUGGAAGUCUAGAGUGCAGGAGAGGAGAAUGGAAUUCCUAGUGUAGCGGUGAAAUGCGUAGAGAUUAGGAAGAACACCAGUGGCGAAGGCGGUUCUCUGGACUGUAACUGACACUGAGGCUCGAAAGCGUGGGGAGCAAACAGG